UACGUAGGAGGCGAGCGUUGUCCGGAGUUACUGGGCGUAAAGGGUGCGCAGGCGGUGGCCCGCGUGGGCGGUGAAAAGCUCCUGGCUCAACUGGGAGAGGGCCGUCCAGACGGGGUCACUUGAGAGGCGGAGAGGGGCGUGGAAUUCCGGGUGGAGCGGUGAAAUGCGUAGAGAUCCGGAGGAACACCGAUGGCGAAGGCAAUCCCCUGGACCUGUACUGACGCUCAUGCACGAAAGCGUGGGGAGCAAACAGG
This 254-nucleotide ribosomal RNA is filed under the name uncultured bacterium. RNAcentral describes it as "partial 16S ribosomal RNA". It matches the Rfam family "Bacterial small subunit ribosomal RNA", at positions 524 to 776 of the family's 1533-position model. The record is from RNAcentral.